CGCGUAGGCGGUACGCCAAGUCUGGGGUGAAAUCUUUCGGCUCAACCGGAAAAUUGCCUGGGAUACUGGCGUGCUCGAGGGAGGUAGGGGCAGCGGGAACUGCCAGUGGAGCGGUGAAACGCGUUGAUAUUGGCAGGAACGCCGGUGGCGAAAGCGCGCUGCUGGACCUCUUCUGACGCUGAGGCGCGAAAGCUAGGGGAGGCAAACG
Molecule: ribosomal RNA, 208 nt
Filed under: uncultured bacterium
Lineage: Bacteria
Description: partial 16S ribosomal RNA
Rfam family: Bacterial small subunit ribosomal RNA
Source: RNAcentral